Crotalus tigris (Tiger rattlesnake) is the source of this 2932-nucleotide RNA transcript. It is a transcript of the gene named chromosome unknown C18orf25 homolog, with no coding region annotated. The transcript has 5 exons. The record is from RefSeq and is a predicted model, not a curated record. NCBI's taxonomy places the organism in Eukaryota, Metazoa, Chordata, Lepidosauria, Squamata, Viperidae.
CCGCCGCCGCUGCUGCCGGAAGUGACGUCCGGAAGGCUCGAGCUGAGGCGAUCCCAGCGGCCUCCCUUCUGAGGUGACAUUUUUUUUCUCUCCUCCGCUCACCGCCACCUUCCUCCGGCUCCUUCUUUUCGGUCCCUCCUGCCCGGGCCGAGGAAGCGGCGCCGGCCACGCCGGGGGAGGAGAGAGGAGGAGGAGCCCCGGCCCCUCAUGCUCCAGCUGGCCCUUCCCGCGGGGCCUCAGGCCGGGGAGAGCCUCAGAGGCCGCGGCGGCGACGACUCCGAGAAUUUGGUGGGAAACAGCCAGAAUGACAACUUUGGACACUCAAGUCUUCUGUCGACAGAGCAGUGACAGCCGAGGCUGAAAAGUUGCUUUCCUGCUGAAGCCCUAGGUGAGGUUGCCCUUCCCCAAGGCUCUGGGUCUAUCCUCUGAGACCAGGAGAGACUUAAAACUUUGAAAUGAAGAUGGAGGCGGCGGACAGAACAGAAGAACUCCUCCACUCAGAAAUCCCACCCAAACUCACCGAGAAGCCGGAGCCAGCGCUAGGGGAAGAGGGAUCUAUAGAACUGGACCUGCCUGCCCCGAAGGAGAGCCGGGCGCCCGGCGAGGAUUCCACCGUGCUCGCCUCCAUGCCUUGCUUGCUGAUGGAGCUGAGGCGGGACUCGUCCGAAUCUCAACUGGCCUCGACGGAAAGCGACAAGCCGACGGCCGGCCGCAUCUACGAGAGUGACUCUUCCAAUCACUGCAUGCUGUCCCCUUCGUCCAGCGGCCACUUGGCCGACUCCGACACGCUUUCCUCGGCCGAAGAGGCCGCCCCCGGCCAAGCCGAGACGGCGGCGGUCGAGGGGGAUCCCUCCGCCGUCUCCCUGUCGACUCCGGCGAGGAAAUCCAGGCGGUCCCGGUCGGAGAGCGAAACCUCCUCCGCCAUGGCCGCCAAGAAGAACCGGCAGUCGAGCGACAAGCAGAACGGCCGGGUGGCUAAGGCGAAAGGUCACCGGAGCCAGAAGCACAAGGAGCGCAUCCGGCUGCUGAGGCAGAAGCGGGAGGCCGCCGCCCGCAAGAAGUACAACCUGCUGCAGGACAGCAGUACCAGCGACAGCGACCUCACCUGCGACUCCAGCACCAGCUCCUCGGAGGACGACGACGAAGUUUCGGGGAGCAGCAAGACAAUCACGGCAGAGAUACCAGCUGGCUUCCGUCGUGCUGGGGGAUCUGAAGGAGCGGCCGGGGAAACCCCUGGAUUGCUUGACAGGGGCACCGUGUGGGAUAGGAACUGCAUAGGCAGCGUCCUGGAAGAGGCCAUGAACUGCUUUGCCGAGAUGCAGAGGCAGACGGAGGAGAAGUUCCGCAUGUGGAUAGAAAAACUCACCCGCCUGGACACCGACGAAGAAGGCAAGCAGCAGCUGGAGUCCACGGGGGCCAAAGGGCCCUUAGAUGGCCAAAGACCCGCCUCCACGCCCCAGGCGGGGAUUUUUAUGCAGGUGCCGGAUAGCCAAGGACUUCCGCCGCAGCCCUUUAACUCGUCUUACGCCAGCUGUCAAAAUGCCGAGAUGGCUUCAGAGGCGCCAGAGACCUUGAAUAACAAUUUUCCAGCUCUCUUCCCCGAAAACGGGAAUAUUGUGGAAUCCAGCUUGAACCCGUCGCCAACUUGACGAGAUCCUCCAGCAGCUGCAGUUAACCCAGAUCUCAGCGGGGAAAAAGCUUGACCGUUGUAAACAAAUACACCAUUUUUUUUUUGGGUACCCCCCUUUAGGCUUUUUAGCAGAGUUUGCUUUUUCCUGGUCACCUUCUUGAGAAAACAGACGUUAUUCGGGUUUUUUCUUUUCCCCACCGGGAUGCUCUUCCUGACUUUUUCCAUCAGCAGAGCGUACACCUUCGCAACCUUUUUUUUUUGGUGUGUCUUAAGUUGUAGGGCCACUCCAUGUAUCCCUCAUCUCCUUUUGCAUGCCAGAACUGUUUAUUUGUGAAAAGAAAAACAAAACAAAAAAAAAAACAGAAUUGAAAUGGAAAGACUCGUGUACCAAAUCAGUGUGUCCUGUAAAUAUUUUCUUAAAAACAAAUGCUAAGUGUGCAUCUUAAAACAGAAUUAUAUACUGCUUGCCAUGUUUGGUUCCUCCAUCCCUUAGGGCAGAAAUGGGCUGAUUUGUGAAUUGGAAAGUUUUUUUUUUGGUAAACCAUUCACUGUUCUCAUUCGCUUUCAUUCAAGUUUUUAUAUUCACGGUAUUUAUGUUGAGAAACACUGGUUUAGAGGAAUCUUACGUUUUGUAAAAAAAAAAACAAAACUGACUAAUCCUAAUAGCCAGAAUUGGAGAGAGAAAAAAUAAUAGAUCUAUCUCUCCAAGGGUUAAAUUGAUUUGGGAAAAUGGAAUGAAAGAGAUUAAGUGAAUGUUUACCAUAGAAGCAUGCUUAACAACAUAUACCACCUGUCAAAACAGAAUAAUUUGUCGGUGUGGACGUGUUUCGUACAAUCAAACUGUAAUUUUAUGCUAUCCAUUCUGGACUAUGUUGUGAAAUAAUAGCGGGACUAGUCUUGAAAUUUGGCCAGGUGUAAAUUACAGAUGGAAAGGAGUUGUCAUUUGCAGCCCGUAAAAUAUGAUCAGCCACUCAUGAAGGAAUUCAUAACAUGAUCAUUUUGAUUGCUUUUCUUUUAGUCAACGUCUUUUUGUGCUCCAUAACAAGUUCCUUCCCUGCUUUUCUAAUCUUGAUGCCAAAUGACAGUUUGAACGAUUCAAGCAUUAACAAAUGUUAUCUUCCUCCUUCUGUGGUGUGGUUUAUGAUUGACAUCUUGGGUUGUUUUCCCGGUACCUGCAUUGGGUUCCACGUUGGUUCAAAUAAUGGUAAAAAUGUGGACUCUUAAACCCACUUAGGGUAAAUUAUCAGGGACACUUCUAUCUAUACAUUUAAGGCAGGGCUGUCCAAAUUUGGCAACUUUUAA